RNAcentral lists this ribosomal RNA (2646 nucleotides) under Escherichia coli. Its description in RNAcentral is "partial 23S ribosomal RNA". It matches the Rfam family "Bacterial large subunit ribosomal RNA", at positions 306 to 2925 of the family's 2925-position model. Lineage: Bacteria; Pseudomonadati; Pseudomonadota; Gammaproteobacteria; Enterobacterales; Enterobacteriaceae. The record is from RNAcentral.
GAGCCUGAAUCAGUGUGUGUGUUAGUGGAAGCGUCUGGAAAGGCGCGCGAUACAGGGUGACAGCCCCGUACACAAAAAUGCACAUAUUGUGAGCUCGAUGAGUAGGGCGGGACACGUGGUAUCCUGUCUGAAUAUGGGGGGACCAUCCUCCAAGGCUAAAUACUCCUGACUGACCGAUAGUGAACCAGUACCGUGAGGGAAAGGCGAAAAGAACCCCGGCGAGGGGAGUGAAAAAGAACCUGAAACCGUGUACGUACAAGCAGUGGGAGCCUCUUAAUGGGGUGACUGCGUACCUUUUGUAUAAUGGGUCAGCGACUUAUAUUCUGUAGCAAGGUUAACCGAAUAGGGGAGCCGAAGGGAAACCGAGUCUUAACUGGGCGUUAAGUUGCAGGGUAUAGACCCGAAACCCGGUGAUCUAGCCAUGGGCAGGUUGAAGGUUGGGUAACACUAACUGGAGGACCGAACCGACUAAUGUUGAAAAAUUAGCGGAUGACUUGUGGCUGGGGGUGAAAGGCCAAUCAAACCGGGAGAUAGCUGGUUCUCCCCGAAAGCUAUUUAGGUAGCGCCUCGUGAAUUCAUCUCCGGGGGUAGAGCACUGUUUCGGCAAGGGGGUCAUCCCGACUUACCAACCCGAUGCAAACUGCGAAUACCGGAGAAUGUUAUCACGGGAGACACACGGCGGGUGCUAACGUCCGUCGUGAAGAGGGAAACAACCCAGACCGCCAGCUAAGGUCCCAAAGUCAUGGUUAAGUGGGAAACGAUGUGGGAAGGCCCAGACAGCCAGGAUGUUGGCUUAGAAGCAGCCAUCAUUUAAAGAAAGCGUAAUAGCUCACUGGUCGAGUCGGCCUGCGCGGAAGAUGUAACGGGGCUAAACCAUGCACCGAAGCUGCGGCAGCGACACUAUGUGUUGUUGGGUAGGGGAGCGUUCUGUAAGCCUGUGAAGGUGGCCUGUGAGGGUUGCUGGAGGUAUCAGAAGUGCGAAUGCUGACAUAAGUAACGAUAAAGCGGGUGAAAAGCCCGCUCGCCGGAAGACCAAGGGUUCCUGUCCAACGUUAAUCGGGGCAGGGUGAGUCGACCCCUAAGGCGAGGCCGAAAGGCGUAGUCGAUGGGAAACAGGUUAAUAUUCCUGUACUUGGUGUUACUGCGAAGGGGGGACGGAGAAGGCUAUGUUGGCCGGGCGACGGUUGUCCCGGUUUAAGCGUGUAGGCUGGUUUUCCAGGCAAAUCCGGAAAAUCAAGGCUGAGGCGUGAUGACGAGGCACUACGGUGCUGAAGCGACAAAUGCCCUGCUUCCAGGAAAAGCCUCUAAGCAUCAGGUAACAUCAAAUCGUACCCCAAACCGACACAGGUGGUCAGGUAGAGAAUACCAAGGCGCUUGAGAGAACUCGGGUGAAGGAACUAGGCAAAAUGGUGCCGUAACUUCGGGAGAAGGCACGCUGAUAUGUAGGUGAAGCGACUUGCUCGUGGAGCUGAAAUCAGUCGAAGAUACCAGCUGGCUGCAACUGUUUAUUAAAAACACAGCACUGUGCAAACACGAAAGUGGACGUAUACGGUGUGACGCCUGCCCGGUGCCGGAAGGUUAAUUGAUGGGGUUAGCGGUAACGCGAAGCUCUUGAUCGAAGCCCCGGUAAACGGCGGCCGUAACUAUAACGGUCCUAAGGUAGCGAAAUUCCUUGUCGGGUAAGUUCCGACCUGCACGAAUGGCGUAAUGAUGGCCAGGCUGUCUCCACCCGAGACUCAGUGAAAUUGAACUCGCUGUGAAGAUGCAGUGUACCCGCGGCAAGACGGAAAGACCCCGUGAACCUUUACUAUAGCUUGACACUGAACAUUGAGCCUUGAUGUGUAGGAUAGGUGGGAGGCUUUGAAGUGUGGACGCCAGUCUGCAUGGAGCCGACCUUGAAAUACCACCCUUUAAUGUUUGAUGUUCUAACGUGGGCCCCUUACCGGGGUUGCGGACAGUGUCUGGUGGGUAGUUUGACUGGGGCGGUCUCCUCCUAAAGAGUAACGGAGGAGCACGAAGGUUGGCUAAUCCUGGUCGGACAUCAGGAGGUUAGUGCAAUGGCAUAAGCCAGCUUGACUGCGAGCGUGACGGCGCGAGCAGGUGCGAAAGCAGGUCAUAGUGAUCCGGUGGUUCUGAAUGGAAGGGCCAUCGCUCAACGGAUAAAAGGUACUCCGGGGAUAACAGGCUGAUACCGCCCAAGAGUUCAUAUCGACGGCGGUGUUUGGCACCUCGAUGUCGGCUCAUCACAUCCUGGGGCUGAAGUAGGUCCCAAGGGUAUGGCUGUUCGCCAUUUAAAGUGGUACGCGAGCUGGGUUUAGAACGUCGUGAGACAGUUCGGUCCCUAUCUGCCGUGGGCGCUGGAGAACUGAGGGGGGCUGCUCCUAGUACGAGAGGACCGGAGUGGACGCAUCACUGGUGUUCGGGUUGUCAUGCCAAUGGCACUGCCCGGUAGCUAAAUGCGGAAGAGAUAAGUGCUGAAAGCAUCUAAGCACGAAACUUGCCCCGAGAUGAGUUCUCCCUGACUCCUUGAGAGUCCUGAAGGAACGUUGAAGACGACGACGUUGAUAGGCCGGGUGUGUAAGCGCAGCGAUGCGUUGAGCUAACCGGUACUAAUGAACCGUGAGGCUUAACCUUACAACGCCGAAG